RNAcentral lists this unclassified non-coding RNA (742 nucleotides) under Hevea brasiliensis (rubber tree). Lineage: Eukaryota; Viridiplantae; Streptophyta; Magnoliopsida; Malpighiales; Euphorbiaceae. The record is from RNAcentral.
AGAAUAUGCUUGGUCAUGGAGAAGAAACCCGGGGUCGUUCUUGACGAGGAUGAAAAAGACGAGAAAGUAGAAAGCUCUGGAGACGUGAAGAAACCUCCAUCGGUUUCACUUGCAAAGGAGAAAAGAGCAAGAAAGAAAUCGGAAAGAUAUACUUACCUUGCAGCUGCAAUCUUGUCAAGUGUUGGCAUCACUUCAAUGGCAGCCAUGGCUAUUUAUUACAGAUUCUCAUGGCAAAUGGAGGGUGGAGAGUUCCCUGCAUUGGAAAUGUUUGGCACCUUUGUUUUGUCAGUAGGGGCCGCCGUGGGGAUGGAGUUUUGGGCAAGGUGGGCUCAUAAAGCUUUAUGGCAUGCUUCGUUAUGGAAAAUACACGAGUCUCACCAUAGAGCAAGGGAGGGUCCAAUUGAGAUGAACGACGCAUUUGCAAUAAUAAAUGCAGUUCCAGCAAUCGGUCUGUUGUCAUAUGGGCUUUUCAACAAAGCCUUAAUUCCUGGUCUAUGUUUCGGUGCUGGGCUCGGAAUAACAGUGUUUGGGAUGGCGUACAUGUUCGUACAUGAUGGUUUAAUCCACCGUCGUUUCCCAGUAGGACCUAUUGCCGACGUCCCCUACUUGCGAAGAGUUGCUGCUGCUCAUCAGCUUCACCACUCGGACAAAUUUAAUGGGGUUCCUUAUGGAUUGUUUUUGGGACCUAAGGAACUAGAAGGCACAGAAGGAGGCAUAGAAGAAUUGGACAAGGAGGUCCAAA